GUUUGAUCCUGGCUCAGAGUGAACGCUGGCGGCGUGCCUAAUACAUGCAAGUCGAACGCGAAAGUCCUUCGGGAUGAGUAAAGUGGCGCACGGGUGAGUAAUGGUUGAGAACAUGCCCUGAAGUGGGGAAUAACAGUUGGAAACGACUGCUAAUACCGCAUGGCAUCGAAAGAUUAAAGGUGGGGAUCGCAAGACCUACCGCUUCAGGAUUGGCUCAACUCCCAUUAGCUAGUUGGUAGGGUAAUGGCCUACCAAGGCAACGAUGGGUAUGUGGUCUUAGAGGAUGAUCACACACACUGGAACUGAGACACGGUCCAGACUCCUACGGGAGGCAGCAGUAGGGAAUAUUGCACAAUGGAGGAAACUCUGAUGCAGCAACGCCGCGUGAGUGAAGAAGGCCCUUGGGUCGUAAAGCUCUUUAGCCUGGAAAGAAGUGCCAUCCUGUGAAUAAUUGGGUGGUGUGACGGUACCAGGAGAAUAAGGACCGGCUAAUUUCGUGCCAGCAGCCGCGGUAAUACGAAAGGUCCAAGCGUUACUCGGAAUUACUGGGCGUAAAGCGCGCGUAGGCGGCUUUGUAUGUCGAUUGUGAAAGCCCCGGGCUCAACCUGGGAACUGCAGUCGAAACUGCAAAGCUUGAAUGUUGGAGGGGUUGGGGGAAUACCUAGUGGAGAAGUGAAAUUCGUAGAGAUUAGGUGGAACACCAGAGGCGAAGGCGCCUGACUGGCCAAACAUUGACGCUGAGGCGCGAGAGCGUGGGUAGCAAACAGGAUUAGAUACCCUGGUAGUCCACGCCGUAAACUAUGGACACUAGCCGUUCGAAGCAUUAACCCUUUGAGUGGCAAAGCUAACGCAUUAAGUGUCCCGCCUGGGAAGUACGGUCGCAAGACUAAAACUCAAAGGAAUUGACG
This 908-nucleotide ribosomal RNA is filed under the name uncultured bacterium. Its description in RNAcentral is "bacterial SSU rRNA". It matches the Rfam family "Bacterial small subunit ribosomal RNA", at positions 11 to 915 of the family's 1533-position model. The record is from RNAcentral.